CCUACGGGAGGCAGCAGUGGGGAAUAUUGGGCAAUGGGCGCAAGCCUGACCCAGCAACGCCGCGUGAAGGAUGAAGGCCUUCGGGUUGUAAACUUCUUUUCUCAGGGACGAAGAAAGUGACGGUACCUGAGGAAUAAGCCACGGCUAACUACGUGCCAGCAGCCGCGGUAAUACGUAGGUGGCAAGCGUUAUCCGGAUUGACUGGGUGUAAAGGGUGCGUAGGCGGGACUGCAAGUCAGAUGUGAAAUCCAGGGGCUCAACCUCUGGCCUGCAUUUGAAACUGUAGUUCUUGAGUACUGGAGGGGUAGGCGGAAUUCCUAGUGUAGCGGUGGAAUGCGUAGAUAUUAGGAGGAACACCAGGGGCGAAGGCGGUCUGCUGGACAGCAACUGACGCUGAGGCGCGAAAGCGUGGGGAGCAAACAGGAUUAGAUACCCGAGUAGUC
This 443-nucleotide ribosomal RNA is filed under the name uncultured bacterium. Its description in RNAcentral is "partial 16S ribosomal RNA". It matches the Rfam family "Bacterial small subunit ribosomal RNA", at positions 338 to 795 of the family's 1533-position model. The record is from RNAcentral.